AUGCAUACAUAACUUUCAAUAAUUGCAUAUGGGCCUCAAUAAACCAAUGUAAUCUAAAUGAGCCAACUUGUAAGCAAUAUAUGUAAGUUGGUUAUGGAACAAGGGGUGCCAGAUAGACUUUGUAAAUGUCUUUUGACGCUGGAACAAUGAUGACAUAUAGUGUAGUGUGCAUUAUAGUAAAUCUUCCAUUGUAUCAUGCGCUUUGCAAGGCUGGAGAGUUUCUAUCACCCAGUGGUUACUGUGAGCCAUGUCGUAGAUCUUCUUUCAUGAAAGAAACAAACCACAACAAUACGUCUUGCUUACAAUGCACGGAAGACGCACCUAAAUCGGCGGAGUUAUGGCAUCCCUGCAAUGCUACUCAUAAUACGGUCUAUAGGUGUGUGAACGACACGUUUAAUGUCAACGGAAAUGACAUAUUGUGUCAGCAAUGUCAAAAAUGCCUCUACCCGGGGUGAAAACCCUGCCGCCAUGAUCAAGACACCGUUUGCUGUUUGAAGGAAAGCCUGACUGUAGUCUCAGUUAAGAGUAAUGAAAAUUGCAAACACAAAACAAAUAAUGACAAGUAUUGCUGCAUAGAGACGGAGCAGACCACAGUAGAAGGUAAUACAUUAUCAGAUGUCACUCAAACGGAAAUUCCCAAAGUGCAGGAACAGAACAGCACUAGCGAGAAUUCAUCAAUAUCAAAUAAUGUAGGAAAUAGCGAAAACGGAGGGCUUGGUACUGGAGGAAAGGCAGGCAUUAUAACAGCAUGCAUUGUUGCUGCUUUUAUUGCAAUAACUAUACUGGUCGUUCAUCUACGUAAGAGAUGCCCUCGAAAAUACCAACGUCCAGCCAAUUUUAACCCAGACAAUGAAGGAGACGAAGGAGUUUAAUAACAUAGAGAAGAAGUCAAAAACAUUUUAAUUAUAUUAUAUUGUAAACCAGUGAUGCCCAACCAUAUUUGGUCUGCGGGCCAUUUUAAUUUUCGGCAUUCGUGUCGCGGGCCAUAACACCACAAAGAAAAAAAAUACAAUAAGCUAUUUUUAAUACUUUUAUUUGUGGACCUACUUACAUAAAUUAAUGUGAUGCAUGAAGUUUAUCCAACACCAUUUUCUGAAUAUCUGGCUGCAUAGAUGAAACACAAAGUCGGAGCACUGAAUCUAGAUGUUCAUCAGCGAGGUGAUUACGUAACAUGGAUUUCGCCCGUUUCAUCAUUGAGAAAGUUUGUUCACACAAAUAAGUGCUUGAAAACAUUGUGAUCAUCCUUAGCGCUUGUUUUCGAAGAUUUGGAAACACUUCAGCAGGUAACAUGGAGUAGAAUUCAAUGGUCUGCAUCACUUGAAAUUUGUCAAGAAGGGAUGUCUGGCUUUGUAAGUCAAGUCAAUCAGUUCCAGUUGAAGAUCUGUCGGAGCACUUGACACAUCGGCAGCAAACGGAAAUCUUUGAAAGUUCUGUGAUUAAAUGAAAUUUACAGUGUUGAGCACAAUCAUCAUCACAUGGUCCAGAUUCAAAACCUU
Long non-coding RNA from Biomphalaria glabrata, 1496 nucleotides. RefSeq lists it as uncharacterized. The record is from RefSeq and is a predicted model, not a curated record. NCBI's taxonomy places the organism in Eukaryota, Metazoa, Mollusca, Gastropoda, Planorbidae. The transcript is spliced from 3 exons.